Molecule: non-coding RNA, 46 nt
Filed under: Schistosoma margrebowiei
Lineage: Eukaryota; Metazoa; Platyhelminthes; Trematoda; Strigeidida; Schistosomatidae
Source: RNAcentral
ACACUGCUGAGGAGUCCCAUAAUAGAACGAAACGGCCGUUCAGUGC